GGUUGUGUAGUGUAGUGGUUAGCACUUUGGAUUUUGAAGAGGCGCCACCUCUCAUUCCAACAACCCCGGUUCGAACCCGGGCACGACCU
Molecule: transfer RNA, 89 nt
Filed under: Thermothielavioides terrestris NRRL 8126
Lineage: Eukaryota; Fungi; Ascomycota; Sordariomycetes; Sordariales; Chaetomiaceae
Description: Thielavia terrestris NRRL 8126 tRNA
Rfam family: tRNA
About the family: Transfer RNA (tRNA) molecules are approximately 80 nucleotides in length. Their secondary structure includes four short double-helical elements and three loops (D, anti-codon, and T loops). Further hydrogen bonds mediate the characteristic L-shaped molecular structure. tRNAs have two regions of fundamental functional importance: the anti-codon, which is responsible for specific mRNA codon recognition, and the 3' end, to which the tRNAs corresponding amino acid is attached (by aminoacyl-tRNA synthetases). tRNAs cope with the degeneracy of the genetic code in two manners: having more than one tRNA (with a specific anti-codon) for a particular amino acid; and 'wobble' base-pairing, i.e. permitting non-standard base-pairing at the 3rd anti-codon position.
Source: Rfam by way of RNAcentral